This 253-nucleotide ribosomal RNA is filed under the name uncultured bacterium. RNAcentral's name for it is "partial 16S ribosomal RNA". It matches the Rfam family "Bacterial small subunit ribosomal RNA", at positions 524 to 776 of the family's 1533-position model. The record is from RNAcentral.
UACGUAGGAGGCAAGCGUUGUCCGGAAUUACUGGGCGUAAAGCGCGUGUAGGCGGAUGCCUAAGUCUGUGGUGAAAGCGCCUGGCUUAACCGGGCGAGGUCCAUGGAAACUAGGCGUCUGGAGGCCGGUAGAGGGGGGUGGAAUUCCGGGUGUAGUGGUGAAAUGCGUAGAGAUCCGGAGGAACACCAGUGGCGAAGGCGGCUCACUGGCCCGGUACUGACGCUGAGGUGCGAAAGCGUGGGGAGCAAACAGG